Passer domesticus (house sparrow) is the source of this 295-nucleotide long non-coding RNA. RefSeq lists it as uncharacterized. The record is from RefSeq and is a predicted model, not a curated record. The transcript is spliced from 3 exons. NCBI's taxonomy places the organism in Eukaryota, Metazoa, Chordata, Aves, Passeriformes, Passeridae.
ACCACAGUCUGCAGAGGAAUCUUUGCUCAUUUAGCUGUUCCUAAGGCUGUCAAAGGAAAAAAAAUUCUCUCGCUGUAGGAGUGAGAGGCCAGUUGCUGGGCAAAAUGUGAGUGGAUUUGAGGUCAGAGAGCAGCGUCACUUGAGGAUGCAGGUACCCUGGACAAGCAGCUUCAGCAGUCUGCAUAAAGAAACAUGUCCGAAGUCGUAUCUGUUUUCAGCCUGGCACAGAUUCCAAAACGAGAACUCCCCAGAUGUAAUUCCUUCUAUUUCCUAUUCUGACAUUUGCUUCUACAAA